Molecule: ribosomal RNA, 253 nt
Filed under: uncultured bacterium
Lineage: Bacteria
Description: partial 16S ribosomal RNA
Rfam family: Bacterial small subunit ribosomal RNA
Source: RNAcentral
GACAGAGGGUGCGAACGUUGUUCGGAAUUACUGGGCGUAAAGCGCGUGUAGGCUGUUCGGAAAGUCGGGUGUGAAAGCCCUGGGCUCAACCUAGGAAGUGCACUCGAAACUCCCGAACUGGAGUCCCGGAGAGGAAGGUGGAAUUCUCGGUGUAGAGGUGAAAUUCGUAGAUAUCGAGGGGAACAUCGGUGGCGAAGGCGGCCUUCUGGACGGUGACUGACGCUGAGACGCGAAAGCGUGGGGAGCAAACAGG